Molecule: ribosomal RNA, 253 nt
Filed under: uncultured bacterium
Lineage: Bacteria
Description: partial 16S ribosomal RNA
Rfam family: Bacterial small subunit ribosomal RNA
Source: RNAcentral
UACGUAGGGUGCAGGCGUUAAUCGGAAUUACUGGGCGUAAAGCGUGCGCAGGCGGUUUGCUAAGACAGGUGUGAAAUCCCCAGGCUCAACCUGGGAACUGCGUCCGAUACUGGAUGGCUUGAAUCCGGGAGAGGGAUGCAGAAUUCCAGGUGUAGCGGUGAAAUGCGUAGAUAUCUGGAGGAAUACCGGUGGCGAAGGCGGCAUCCUGGACCGGCAUUGACGCUGAGGAGCGAAAGCCAGGGGAGCAAACGGG